AGUGGGAUUGCUGGGUCAAAUGGUGGUUCCAUUCCAAGUCUUCUGAGGAAUCUUCAUAUGGCUUUUCACAAUGGUUGCACCAAUUUGCAGUCCCACCAGCAAU
This 103-nucleotide microRNA precursor is filed under the name Marmota monax (woodchuck). The record is from RNAcentral. Lineage: Eukaryota; Metazoa; Chordata; Mammalia; Rodentia; Sciuridae.